Molecule: unclassified non-coding RNA, 3645 nt
Filed under: Daphnia pulicaria
Lineage: Eukaryota; Metazoa; Arthropoda; Branchiopoda; Diplostraca; Daphniidae
Description: aTP-binding cassette sub-family G member 4-like, transcript variant X7
Source: RNAcentral
CAACUAGCUUCCUCUCCCCUACUUCUCCUAUACCGAACGCGAAACGCAACGAAGAAUUCACAAAAUUAGCGAAUGGGUAGGCCCAGUCUAUAGAACAUACGUGAUAGGCAUAGCCAUCGCUGGCUAUAACCAGCUACAAAAUAACCUGUUAUCAUUGAAUUCUUACGUCAUCCUUUAUCUUACUAUGUUUUAGAUAUGAAUUUUUGCGCUCCCGACUGAUAACGAAAAAGUGUCGAUCACUUUUUAAACGACCAGCUUGGCAAUAUAAUCGAUGUAUUUCGAUCUGGCUAGACUGAAAUCAUUCGGCUGUCCUUCUUCGUAUUAAAAGGGAGCAGUGUAUUUUCUCGAUCAGUUUCAAUUUGAUUCAUUUCCACAAACCAAAAAUUGGGCAACGAUUUCCUGAUUGGGUUUUAUUUAUUAAGUUGUUAUAGUGUCGAUGAGGCUUUUUUAAAAAUCAGUUCCCUUAUUUUAAUGCCAAUCGUGCUGCUACCUUAGUGAGUACUUGGUUUAUCGAACAGCAAAGAAUUUAUCCAUUGUUUUGCGAUUGAUACAGUUCACGAGUUUAGUAUUCCGAUAAAGUAAUAUGCGUGACGUCUUUUUGUUUGGAUUGUGACUGAAAAAACCUUUCUGCCGUCGCUCAGUUUCGUGAAAAAUAAAAAAUGCAAUCGGUUAAGUUUAAUGAGUGGAAUCCAGGGACGUCAUCAACUCGAAAGUACCAAGAGGGCGCGUCAUUCGAUCUAACUUUUCGCAAUUUAAGUUAUACCACGGGAAAAGGGAAAAAAGCUAAGCACAUUUUACAUCAAAUAAGUGGUUCCUUCAAAUCUGGACACCUAACGGCCAUUCUAGGGCCGUCUGGAGCAGGAAAAACUUCGCUCAUGAACAUUUUAGCAGGCUUAAAGAAAAGUGGAAUAGAAGGCCGAGUUGACGUAAAUGGAGCAAAACGAAAGUUCAAAACUUUCCGAAAGCAGUCGGCUUACGUAACACAGCAAGAUCAUCUUUUGAAAAACUUGACCGUCGAUGAGUACAUGACUGCCGCGGCCCAUUUGAAAUUAGGAAACAAAGUUUCCGACAAGGAAAAGAAAUCCACGAUUGAGCAAAUUCUGAAAACAUUAGGACUAACGAAUACUCAAAAAACGAGAGUGAAAUGCUUAUCCGGUGGUGAAUGCAAAAGACUGUCUAUAGGACUGGAAUUAAUUGAUAAUCCUGCCAUUUUAUUUCUGGAUGAACCGACCAGUGGGUUGGACAGCUCAUCGAGUUUGCAGUGCGUGUCGCUAUUGCGUGAUAUCGCCAGAAGCGGUCGCACGGUAGUUGCCACGAUUCAUCAGCCAAAUUCACGGUUACUAGAUCUAUUUGAUCACCUUUAUAUUGUAGCAGGAGGAUCGUGCAUGUAUCAGGGACCUGUGGAUUCCUUAGUCCCUUAUCUCCAGACGAUGAAUUUGGACUGCCCUAAUCACCACAGUCCAACAGAUUUUGCGAUUGAUGUGGCUUCUGGAGAGUACGGUGACGUGCUACCCAGACUGGUAUCUGGAAUUGAAAACGGUCGUCGGAUUUUCCACGAAAAUUCGCCAGCAAUUUUAGCGUCGCCUGCACUCAGCCAUGACACGGGAUUUUACGAAGAGGACGAAUGCGACCUUAUGUUGGACGGCAACUCGAAGAAAAAAGAAAAAAAAGGAAAGAAUAAGGAUGGGCUAAUGUACGGCGCACCUUUUCAUUAUCAAGUUUCUAUUCUACUUGGACGAACCUGGCGAACUAUUUGGAGAGAAAAGAUUCUGACGACAAUGCGUCUCACUCUCCACGUUUGUAUUGCCUUCUUGAUGGGCAUGUUGUAUUGGCAGAUCGGGGACGAUGCCGACGAUAUAUUCAACAACGCCGGCAUGAUUUUCUUUAGUCUAAUUUUUAUUUUAUACGUAGCCAUGAUGCCCACAUUUCUGACUUUUACACUUGAGAGGGAGGUACUGGUUCGGGAACAUUUAAACCAAUGGUACAGUCUCAAAGCGUACUACCUUGCCAAAACGCUGGCCGACAUUCCGUUCCAGAUAGUCUUUCCUACUUUAUAUUUAAUCCCCCUAUACUUUAUGAGUAACCAGCCGUUGUGCAUAGGAAGUUUCAGCAUGUUACUGGGCAUCUUGAUUUCUAUGGCACUAGUCGGUCAAGGCAUCGGACUGUUUUUCGGCGCCGCGUUUGACAUCCCAGUAGCCUCCUACUUUGCACCAAUCUGCUGCAUUCCGUUCUUGUUAGUAUCGGGUUUCGUACUCAAAUUUAACGCGAUUCCAUCUUAUUUGAGCUGGAUAACCUACCUCAGUUUCCUUCACUACGGUUUCGAGGGAUCCAUGUUAUCCUUAUACACUGUUGAUCGUCCGCCUCUUGGCUGCUAUCAAGAUUACUGCCAUUUUCGAUACCCCAUCAAGUUUUUAGAACAAUUUGAUUUGACAAACAGUUCGUAUUACUUGGCUCUUGUUGGAAUGCUGGUGUCGUUCGUUGUAAUACGAGUGGGUGCCUAUUUUGCCUUGAGUUUCAAACUUAGGCAUGUGCGUUGAAGCAACUUCUAUUCUACAUUACUUUUGUCAUACUAUAUUGUUACUACAGUACAGCUCGAUAAACGGCAACUAGAUCACUGGUUAUUCAUUAAAAAGGAAAAUAUUUUGAGUCGAACUGGGAUCUUUUCUAUGAGAUAAAGUGGGCUUUUUUUUAUUCGGUUUGGGUCGUUAUGCAGAUUCAACCGAUACCUACUAAUAAUCCUUCUGCUCAACGAUAGCGGGAGUACCCGGAUUCUUAGUUUUUGAUUAUCAUUAAGAUCCAAUUUCCCAGUCACAGACUAUCUCCAACAACGGCAAGAACAGCGUUUUUGGUGUUCCAUACAUUGUGUUUCAUAUCUUGAGUAUUGUAAUUAAAUUUCCCAUGCUUGAUUUGUUUUUUACUAAUAUUUAUUGAUAGAAUUACAGGCAUUCAUUAAGACCAUUUCUGUGGUCGAGACUCGAGAGGGUCUUUAUCUGUUGUUAGUUGUUGUUACACAGACUUACAGUUACAGCUUUAUACAGCCAUGAUAUGGCCAUUAGCGAGUUAAUGAAAGUUAUAUCCUAUUUUUAUUUUAUUAUUUUUUUUAUUUAAUAAAAAUCAUAAACAGCCCUUCGACUUCGAGUACCUUUUACUUUUAGCUACAUGUGUUUACUUUGGUAGUAACUAGUAAGAAAUGUCUUCACCCCAUAGUUUAGUUUUUGGUCAUUAGGUGGCAGAGAAAACAAAAAAACAACAGAAUCGCUUAUCAGACCCUUACUUCUUUUUUGCUGUAAGACUGUUAGCCAGUUAGUAAGUUUACAUAUGCUUGUUUGAUGAUUGUGUGUACUGUGCAAUUUGAAAUAGGAAAAGUGAAGAGGGUUGAAUCAGGCUCUACUUAGUAUCCACGAGUAUCGAGGAUAAAAUUAAUUAUCCGCCUAUCGUCGAUAUUUCGAUACGAUUGACCAGUUGUUUCAUUCCAUUAGGAACUAGAAAUGGAUGCUGCAGUAAAAUUAGAAAUGUGUCGUCUAACAACUCAGAACCAAACAAAUGUCCCAUUGGAUCUUACCUUCCAUGACAUUUGUUACACCGUUGGCAAGGCAAAACCUAUUGUUAUUGCUCUAUGCAUGUAAGGGCACUCCUGCAUCCAUG